Molecule: unclassified non-coding RNA, 392 nt
Filed under: fungal sp.
Lineage: Eukaryota; Fungi
Description: partial internal transcribed spacer region
Rfam family: Eukaryotic small subunit ribosomal RNA (bases 1-46)
Source: RNAcentral
AAGUCGUAACAAGGUAACCGUAGGUGAACCUGCGGUUGGAUCAUUACUUAAAAUGAUAGUCCCUUUCUCUUUGUCUGAUGACACCUUGUGUGUUGUUUGCCAAAGUGGAGUGGACGAACAUUGGUAAGGGAUUCUCUGUUUAUAGUGUCUCACAAAAGGCAUUAUGAGGAGGGGAUUACCUGCCUCUACCCAUACCUGUGAACUGUCUCUUUUAAGGAAAAAGAAUGGAAAAGUGCUUUGAAUUCACUUCAACUUACUUUUUUUCCGUUCCUUUUUCCUUAAAUACCAUAUACAAAACAUUUUAUCUUUUGAUGCUUUACAUUUCUCAAUGGAUCAUUCGUGAUCAAACGAGCAAAUAUAAACAACUUUUGACAACGGAUCUCUUGGCUCUC